UUACUUUGGUAGUACGUAUACCAAAAAUUGGAAUAAUACAGAGAUUAGUGUGGCCCCUACGCAAGAAUGACAUGCAAAUUUAUGAACUGUUACUUAUUUUU
This 101-nucleotide small nuclear RNA is filed under the name Sciurus vulgaris (Eurasian red squirrel). Lineage: Eukaryota; Metazoa; Chordata; Mammalia; Rodentia; Sciuridae. The record is from RNAcentral.